GCGACCGCCGCAAGGAUCGCGAGAAGAGGCGGCUCCGACGGAGACUCCCGCCCCGCGGACUCGGUGGCCCCGCCCCUGCAGAGGCUGAUUGGCCUAGCGCGAGGAAAAGUGGUGCGCCCCCUGUGCCCCCGUUACCUUGUGCUUUCCUGCCUGGACAUCUGCUCCCUUUGCCUGAAAUGUCCUCCUUUGCCGCCUCUGCCUACUCCCCCUCCCACCCCACAUCUGGGCCUUAUUUUAGCUUCAUAGACUCUCAGGGCCUGAAGUUCAGCUAGCCUAAUUGCAUGUUCAUUGACACAAUUCUACAAGGAAGUCGUGUAUGAACUUACAUGAAGACUCCUAAGAAGCGUCUUAAUGCGGAAAACAUUUAUUGAGAACGUGCUGUGUGCCAGGCACAUAGUGAAACCCACAUGAAAAGGUAGUCCCCGUCCUCAUGGAGUGCACUGCCUAGGCUAGCAGAGGAGUGAGGAAGGGUCAAAUGGCCCCAUAGGAAAGGAUCUAGCAAAGCACUCUGGAGGGUGAUUGGCAGUGUGGUUACUACUGUUUGCAUAGAAGUUUGGGAAAUGCUCUUUUUAGGGGUAUUUUUUGUACUACCCUCAGGGCUUGUGGUUGGCAAAGGAAUUUCUAUGGCUUAGCUCAUCCCUGACUCACAGCAGACGUCCUGGGAGUGUCUGUGGAAACUCUGAGGGGCCAAGUAAACAGUCCUGGUGGCCUGACUUGAUUUAAAGAGAGGGUUUGGAGGACCUGGAAGAAGGAGACCCUCGCAAUCUCUAUCAAGCUAAAGUGGUCUGGAACUUUCAACAGGAACUGAACAGCUGGUGGUUCCAGACCAAAAUUUCUAGCAAAGGCCAGGACCACUAUGGCAUGUUGUUGAUUGAAGUGAAAACUAUGUCCUUCAAAACCUCAGGUGUGUGAGUGACAAAAAGAUUGGCAUGUACCUUCAUCUGGACAAAGGCCAUUCUGCAGACAGCCCAGUAAGGAGGGCUACAGGGCUGCCUGUGGUGGGAUCAAGAUUUUCAGCUGAUGGAAGCUUUGGUUGGAUGCAACCAUUCUGCCUCAUUAUAGCUGUAACAAAUGUGGCUCUUUGAUCCUUACAACAAGAGAUUCUUACAAAAUGAUCAUGGUCUUUUUGUGGAUAGGGAAGCUGAAGCCAAAGGAGGACACGAACGGCUCCAGCUCUCAGAAUGUUUGUAUUAAUCAUUAAUGCCAACAAUCUGGUUUGCUUGUUAAUAGACUCAUGGUAGAAGUGCAUUUUCUUGUCCCCUUGAAGUCGGGAGUGGCAUUGGAUGUGCUUGGGUCAGUGAAAUGUGUAAAGUAACAUGCAUUGCUUCAAGCAGAAGCAUUUCAUUUCCAGUUUAGACUCUUUCCCAUACUCUUUCGUCUUGGUAGUGAUUACUGAUCAUGACGAUGAAAGCAUAUAUCAAAACGAACCUUGUGUCAGCAUUAGUCCCUGAGUUAGCAUAAUAAGCUUAACCCCCCUGCUAACCCAUACAGAACAGGUACCCUCUGUUGAAUUAAACUGUGAGAUUCAAGGGGUAUUUGUUCCUGUGACAUAACAUAGACUGUUCCGGCUAAUGGAAAGAUGAAAUUCAAGUCCACAACACCAACAUUACCAUCCAGGAGCUCUGUCAUCUUAGGCAAAUGACCUAAUCUCUCUGGACCUUAUUUUCUGUCAAAUGGUGCUAAUGAUAGCACCUACCUUCCAAGAUUAUAGAAGGAAUAAAUGAGUAAAUUUAUGUGCAAUGUUUAGAACAGUUUCUGGUGCAUAGUAAACACUCAUGUUGAUGUUGAUGCUGCUACUACAAUUCUGACUCCAGCUUUGUAUUCUUCUUCUUAUCUCAUGCUUGCAAAAAGUGAUCUGGGAAGAACAUUUUUAAGUAUGGGUGUUACCAGUCAACUCUCAAAACCUGCAGUUAUGAAAAAACCCUUUUACCCAGGGAGAAAUGUCACCAAAUUCCACAUGAUAGUAGCUG
Molecule: long non-coding RNA, 1970 nt
Filed under: Homo sapiens (human)
Lineage: Eukaryota; Metazoa; Chordata; Mammalia; Primates; Hominidae
Description: HSALNT0382191
Source: RNAcentral